RNAcentral lists this ribosomal RNA (620 nucleotides) under Citrobacter freundii. RNAcentral's name for it is "bacterial SSU rRNA". It matches the Rfam family "Bacterial small subunit ribosomal RNA", at positions 1 to 612 of the family's 1533-position model. Lineage: Bacteria; Pseudomonadati; Pseudomonadota; Gammaproteobacteria; Enterobacterales; Enterobacteriaceae. The record is from RNAcentral.
AAAUUGAAGAGUUUGAUCAUGGCUCAGAUUGAACGCUGGCGGCAGGCCUAACACAUGCAAGUCGAACGGUAGCACAGAGAGCUUGCUCUCGGGUGACGAGUGGCGGACGGGUGAGUAAUGUCUGGGAAACUGCCCGAUGGAGGGGGAUAACUACUGGAAACGGUAGCUAAUACCGCAUAACGUCGCAAGACCAAAGAGGGGGACCUUCGGGCCUCUUGCCAUCGGAUGUGCCCAGAUGGGAUUAGCUAGUAGGUGGGGUAACGGCUCACCUAGGCGACGAUCCCUAGCUGGUCUGAGAGGAUGACCAGCCACACUGGAACUGAGACACGGUCCAGACUCCUACGGGAGGCAGCAGUGGGGAAUAUUGCACAAUGGGCGCAAGCCUGAUGCAGCCAUGCCGCGUGUAUGAAGAAGGCCUUCGGGUUGUAAAGUACUUUCAGCGAGGAGGAAGGUGUUGUGGUUAAUAACCGCAGCAAUUGACGUUACUCGCAGAAGAAGCACCGGCUAACUCCGUGCCAGCAGCCGCGGUAAUACGGAGGGUGCAAGCGUUAAUCGGAAUUACUGGGCGUAAAGCGCACGCAGGCGGUCUGUCAAGUCGGAUGUGAAAUCCCCGGGCUCAA